RNAcentral lists this long non-coding RNA (461 nucleotides) under Ananas comosus (pineapple). RNAcentral describes it as "long non-coding RNA (ACOM_LNC010448)". The record is from RNAcentral. Lineage: Eukaryota; Viridiplantae; Streptophyta; Magnoliopsida; Poales; Bromeliaceae.
AUAAAAAUAUUUUUUUUUAUAAAAUUUGAUUUUACUUUAGUAAAACUAUUUUUCCUCUAAACUAAAUAAAUACAAAAUAAUUUUUUUAGUCAAAAAAUUAUUUUCUGAUAUAUUUUUCUAAAAAUCAAACACUCCCAUAAAUUGAUCCAGGACGAUCAAACAUUUCAGAUAAAUUUCAACCGUUGCGGAUAAGGCGGAGGCCGUUCCAACUAUUUCAGUUAGGAUAAGAAUCGAGAUGAUUCCAACUACUUCGGUUGCAGAUAAGGUGGAGGCCGCUCCAACUAUUUCGAUUAGGAUAAGGACUAUUUCGAUUAGGAUAAGGAUCGAGAUAGUCCUAACUAUUUUGGUUAGGAUAAAGACAAAGUUGUUAUUUUUAAAAUAUUUUGUUUUUAUCUAUUUGUAAUAGGGGCCUUACUGGUUCUUGUAAAAUCACUCAAGUAUAGAAAGAAUUAAUAUAUAGA